Molecule: non-coding RNA, 85 nt
Organism: Salmo salar (Atlantic salmon)
Lineage: Eukaryota; Metazoa; Chordata; Actinopteri; Salmoniformes; Salmonidae
Source: Rfam
CAGUGCAGUCAUCCAUAAAGUAGAAAGCACUACUAAACUCCUCACCACAGUGUAGUGUUUCCUACUUUAUGGAUGAGUGUACUGU